GAUGAACGCUAGCGGCAGGCCUAACACAUGCAAGUCGAGGGGUAACAUGAGUGCUUGCACUUGAUGACGACCGGCGCACGGGUGCGUAACGCGUAUACAAUCUACCUUGUACUGAGGGAUAGCCCAGAGAAAUUUGGAUUAAUACCUCAUAGUAUGUAUUUAUGGCAUCAUUUAUACAUUAAAGGUUACGGUACAAGAUGAGUAUGCGUCCUAUUAGUUAGUUGGUGUGGUAACGGCACACCAAGACUACGAUAGGUAGGGGCCCUGAGAGGGGGAUCCCCCACACUAAUACUGAGACACGGACCAG
This 307-nucleotide ribosomal RNA is filed under the name uncultured bacterium. RNAcentral's name for it is "bacterial SSU rRNA". It matches the Rfam family "Bacterial small subunit ribosomal RNA", at positions 28 to 334 of the family's 1533-position model. The record is from RNAcentral.